This is a long non-coding RNA of Aricia agestis (brown argus), 74 nucleotides long. RefSeq lists it as uncharacterized. The transcript has 3 exons. NCBI's taxonomy places the organism in Eukaryota, Metazoa, Arthropoda, Insecta, Lepidoptera, Lycaenidae. The record is from RefSeq and is a predicted model, not a curated record.
UAUUUGAUUUAUGGGCAGUGGAUGGACCUACAACAUUUGGUCGGAUUAUGUCAAUUUAAUGUGAGCAACAAUCU